Molecule: small RNA, 398 nt
Filed under: Pongo abelii (Sumatran orangutan)
Lineage: Eukaryota; Metazoa; Chordata; Mammalia; Primates; Hominidae
Description: retained intron
Source: RNAcentral
CUUCUAGAUGCAGUGAAGACUUGCGGCCUUAUCAACUCUGUGAAGUUCUACCAAGCCUCAACAAGUGAACUUUAUGGCAAAGUGCAGGAAAUACCCCAGAAGGAGACCACCCCUUUCUAUCCCCGCUCACCCUAUGGGGCAGCAAAACUCUAUGCCUAUUGGAUUGUGGUGAACUUCCGUGAGGCGUAUAAUCUCUUUGCAGUGAAUGGCAUUCUCUUCAAUCAUGAGAGUCCCAGAAGAGGUCAGUAAAUAUAUUAACUGAAAAGAGAAUUUCAGACUUGAACAACAACAAGUUGCAUGUAUAUUUGGUGUAUGUACUGCAGAGACUGAAAAAUUUCCUAUCUGUAUCUAAUUAUUAUGAAUGUCAGAGCAGCAAAUGAAGAAAUGUAUACCAGCCU